UACAGAGGGUGCGAGCGUUAUUCGGAAUUACUGGGCGUAAAGCGCGCGCAGGCGGCUUUGCAAGUCGGGUGUGAAAUCCCCAGGCUUAACCUGGGAACUGCAUUCGAGACUGCAUUGCUAGAGUAUGGGAGAGGGAAGUGGAAUUUCCGGUGUAGCGGUGAAAUGCGUAGAUAUCGGAAGGAACAUCAGUGGCGAAAGCGACUUCCUGGACCAAUACUGACGCUCAUGUGCGAAAGCGUGGGGAGCAAACAGG
RNAcentral lists this ribosomal RNA (253 nucleotides) under uncultured bacterium. Its description in RNAcentral is "partial 16S ribosomal RNA". It matches the Rfam family "Bacterial small subunit ribosomal RNA", at positions 524 to 776 of the family's 1533-position model. The record is from RNAcentral.